Molecule: long non-coding RNA, 1538 nt
Filed under: Cyanistes caeruleus (blue tit)
Lineage: Eukaryota; Metazoa; Chordata; Aves; Passeriformes; Paridae
Description: lncRNA (ENSCCEG00000023869.1)
Source: RNAcentral
CCCCUCUCCAGGACCACCCUCUCCGGGCAGGCUGACAUAGGAGCACCAUGUAGAGCAUGUGUGCAGGCAGGGACCAGAGUAUCAACAAUACAAGUGGUAUGUGCUGGCAGGUGAUCUGCUGGCCAUUCCCAAUGGGAUCACUUCUAGCCUUCGAUUCAGAGUCAUUUGAACACACAUGUUGUAGUGCACUACACACACGCAGCAGCAACUGGACUGAGCAAGAGGACUGCUCACAGGAUGAGGCUUCAGGUGCUCAAGCAAUCUAUUCAAGUUUGCAAACAUUUUGAAGCCAGGACCUGGCUCCUCUGCUGGUAAAGCAGCUGGCACAUGCACUGAAUACACAGAUGGACAAAAGCACUUAAAAAGCUCUGCUACAGACAAGAAGACAACCUGAUAGAUUAAUCCAUCCCAGCAAAAUAUUUCCAUCUCUACUAUCUGUCCUUGUCAGUGAACAGUAGAUGCUGAGUUUUAUCAAUAAGACUGAGCUUGAUCUAACUGCUGCAGAGCCUUUUGGAGUUCUAUCAUUUCAGCUUCCAAAAAUAUUUAAGCUAAUUCAAGAAAUUUCUCAAACCUGAACGUUGCAUUUCAUCUUUCAGAGGAAAUGAUUCUGAGUGCUGCAUGUGGAGUAUUUUCAGCUCUGAGGUUUGAACUCAUGGUAGUAAUUGGAAAUGUGAAAUUUUUUAAGUAAGCUAAGUUUGGGCCCUGAAACUUUACUCUCCGAGGCAUGUUUAUAUAUAUACUCUUUCACAGAGACAGUGUGUUCCAAAUUGUCCAGUCCUCCCAUGAACUGGAAAUGUAGCACUUGUACCAAUAAGAAGGACAUGACUGCUUUUCUGGGUUUUUGGAUUCUAACACUUCUUUAUGCAGUUGUUUGCCUCCAUCCAAGUAGCAAAGUUAUUUCAUAAACAUAAAGUAUUUUCAUGAUGAAAUUUUAAGGAUGAUCAUUCAUUGCUUUGUUCUCCAGUUCAUUUUUUUCAGUUUCUGUGGUGAAAAGCACAUGAUAUCCAUAGUAAAUUCCUUGCCAAAGUUAAAAUAUAUUCCACUCUCAAUUUUCCAGGAACUCAAAAUGACCACAUUUUACUUCAAGAAACAAAAAAGUGACAUUCUGAAAACAAGAAAGUGUCCGAGGCCCCAGAUAAUUUCAUUUUCUGUGGUUGGUUAGAAGAUUCCAUUCCCUGAAAUCUGUGGUCUGCCCAUUGGCUUCCACAGCUUUGUUAUCUCCUUGUUGCAUUGUGAGGUAAUACAAAUAAUGUCAGCAAAAUUGCUAAUAAGCAUGUUAAAUAAGUAAUGCACUUGAUGUGAUGCUUCCAGGACUUGGCAGAUGCCAGUUAGCACACAAUCUACACACCCAAGAUAUCCUCAGCACGCUAUCUCUAAGAAAAAAAUCCAAAUUACUUUUGUUGUCGCAAGGUUCCUGAACAAUUAAUCAUAAAUCAAGAUCCUACAUAGGUCUCUAAUGCACACUGCAGCCUGCACCUACUACCUGAAGUCCUCAGCUAAUAGUUCAUGUUUUCAGCACAAUAAAACUCACAAAGGCA